Molecule: long non-coding RNA, 1728 nt
Filed under: Nilaparvata lugens (brown planthopper)
Lineage: Eukaryota; Metazoa; Arthropoda; Insecta; Hemiptera; Delphacidae
Description: uncharacterized LOC120353273
Source: RNAcentral
UCCCUGUUGAUUUAAUAUUGAUUAACAACUUAAUAUUGAUUUUAUUAUUUUGUAGGUUCAGCUCCAAUCUCAAGUGGGCUACCAACACCAAACUUCAUCAGCCAAAUUUUAUUGAGGUGUGAGUUUGCUUCAGCUUCAAGACAGUAGGCUACCAACACCAAACUUCAUAAGCCAAAUUUUAUUGAGGUGUGAGUUUGCUUCAGCUUCAAGACAGUAGGCUACCAACACCAAUCUUCAACAACAAAAUUUUAUUGAAAUGAUUUCAAUACUUUCUCUAUUUCAACUUAUACACAUUCAAGGAGUGAACAGCAUUGAUCUAUGGGAGAAGUUUAUUCUAUACCUUGAAAAAGAAGUUAAAAAUAAGAAAAAACUAUCAAAUAUUUUUUAUGAUAUAAAGAAACUGUUCAAAUGCAUGAAAUGUGGUUAUCAGGAUUCAUCUUCAAGUCAGAAAAGUCUUUUGAAUAUAUUAACUAUAGAAUUAGCAUUAGAUCGUUUUGAAGAAUUUAUUUCAACAGGGCUUUCAAUUAAAAAAUACAAAUUGAAACUUAAUGAUGAAAAAUACUCUCAAGAAUUGUGUGAUUCAAUUGUGAAAAUAGCUGAAAAUUUCAUAUCAUCAAAUAACUGCAGUACAAUAAAUGAAUCAGAUAGUUUUAGUGAUGAUGAUGAUGAUGAUGUAGAGAUGAGUGGGGAUGAUUCAGAUUUUGAAUCAAUUUUUAAUAAAAUUGAGGGUAAAAAGUUUAAUAAUCAAACAUUAACACAGUCAUUCAUGAUUAGGGACCAGACAAAGCAGGAAAUACUCACAUGUGAGAGUGAAAAUAUUUCAAAGGGCGGAAUCUUGGUGAAAGUUGAAAUAACAGAUGUUAAUGAUUUAAAAAAUAUUGAUGAGAGUUCUAGGUGGAGAAAAAUCAACAAGAAGGUUAUAUUUAUUGCAAAGAACAAGAAUGAUGAAAAAUUUAUAAAAAUUAAUGAUGGAUUGAAAAUAUUUUUGAAAGAGUUAUCUAAAAAAUCUAAUGUUGUAAAAGAAUCACGCAAAAUUAAUGCAUUCAAUAGCAAUAUGCAAAAUUAAUUUGUUCUGUAUCCAUCAGAUAGGAAAAACGUAUUCAAACAUAGUAUUCAAACAAAUGAGAAGCAAUGAGCAGCAAUAUUCAUUUAUUCAAGGGGGUCAGAAGAAAAAAAGAUAGAAUAAAAGUUACCACUGGUCAGUUCACAGAAUUGGAGAGUGCAUUCACAUCACUAUUACAUCACUUUUCUUCAUUUUUUUUUAGAUAACAAAUGAGAAGCAAUGAGCAGCAAUAUUCAUUUAUUCAAGGGGGGCAGAAGAAAAAAAGAUAGAAUAAAAGUUACCACUGGUCAGUUCACAGAAUUGGAGAGUGCAUUCAAUAAUGCAUUAAAGACUUAUUAUUACAAAAAUUCAAUUUCAAAGGAAUCUCUUUCCCCACACCAAUCAAAGAUAUAAAAGUUUUUGAAAAGAACAACAAGUCCAUGUCAAUAAACGUUUACUUUCUAGAUGAAAAUAUGUGAUUAUGAGAAGAGAAAGCAUUUUGAUUUAUUAUUAUUGCAAGAGGAUGGGAAAUAUCAUUAUUGUUUAAUUAAAAAUUUAUCAAGACUCAUUAGAAGUCAAUUGACAAAACAUGAAAAUAAAAUAACAAUUUGUAAAAGAUGUUUCUCAUACUUUGAUGUGAGAGUGAAGAAAAAUUUCAAAACCCACCAAAGAUUAUGUUCGAAGAA